RNAcentral lists this small nuclear RNA (105 nucleotides) under Sorex araneus (European shrew). The record is from RNAcentral. Lineage: Eukaryota; Metazoa; Chordata; Mammalia; Eulipotyphla; Soricidae.
GUGCUCAAUUCAGCAGCACAUGUACUAAAACUGGAAUUGUAGGAAAAAAAUUACCAUGGCCCUGCACAAGAAAGCAUGAAAAUUCAUGAAGUUUUUCAUAUUUUA